This is a long non-coding RNA of Callorhinchus milii (elephant shark), 470 nucleotides long. RefSeq lists it as uncharacterized. The transcript is spliced from 4 exons. The record is from RefSeq and is a predicted model, not a curated record. NCBI's taxonomy places the organism in Eukaryota, Metazoa, Chordata, Chondrichthyes, Chimaeriformes, Callorhinchidae.
CCGACCUUGGACUGAAUUAGACUGAGAUUGGAAGCCGAAUUAAAGAAACAAAAUGCAGACUAGAACAAAAGAAUAUGGGGCCAAGGGCCUCGAUUAUGACGUAUCAUCUGAAAGAUGGCACCUGCCUCAGAAGCGAGAGUGUUUAACCUUAACCCCAACCGGAGAAAGAAGCCAUUAUCUAGUGACGAAGCAUGAAAUCCAUAACCCUGAAAUAUAAUUUUACCAGCAAUUUCAGGAAGAAGGAAAGUUAAAAUAACUAACAUUACGGUUCAAAGCAUUUGGAAAGCAACAGGAGAAGAAUAACGAAGUAUAACAACUGCAAAGUAAAGUAUAUAGCUCAGCUGUCCAUCAAGAAUUCAAAUUUGAUUUCGUACUCAACGAACCCAAGCAAGAAAUUUCUGGUCUGAAGCAAGAGUCUGAGCAAGACUUUUGCCUACUGUUUGUGAAUUUACCAACUGACUCUACCAAAG